Quercus lobata is the source of this 542-nucleotide long non-coding RNA. RefSeq lists it as uncharacterized. The record is from RefSeq and is a predicted model, not a curated record. The transcript has 2 exons. Lineage: Eukaryota; Viridiplantae; Streptophyta; Magnoliopsida; Fagales; Fagaceae.
UUAUUAUAUGACCUUGAGGUAGUCUCCCAUGCAACGGUACAAGUAUUUGACACAUUCUUGGUAACACAUAGAUACAUUAGUAAGAGAGAAGUUAAUCUGACGUCUUUGUUGAGUAAGAAUUUGACAUGAAGGCAUCUGAGCUACCAAGAUGAUCCUAGGAAUGGAAAUUUACCAUUAGAGGGUUUGCUAAUAAAUUGUGUUAUCUUAGAAGAACUAUCUGCUUCUGAUUUGGAAAGGCUAUCUGCUUCUGAUUGCUACAAAUUUCAAAUUAUCCACAUAGUCACAUCCAAAUUCAAAAAAGGAGUCAAAGCAUACUAACGCAAUUGAGUGUCUCAUAUUUGAUGAUGUGCACUAGACCUGAUAUCUCUCAUGUAAAGGUGGUCUAUAGGCUUAUGGUAGAUCCUGGAAAAGAGCAUUUGGAGUGCAUCAAAAUGGAUCUUCAUACAUAUUCUAGGCACUUGUGACUGUGAUAUCCUAUUUUCUAAGAGAGCUUGUACAUAUGCUAUCGUUUUUUUUUUUAAAUGAAGACCAUAUUGGGAAUC